GUGUUCGUAUGAGGUGUUCCGACGCUCGUGUCUGUUAAUUCGCGCGGAAUUUUUCGAUAAUGCUUUGCAGACGCAUCUUUCUGCUCACGAAAUCUUCAUUGCUAGUAGGAAAUGGCCACAUUGGCUACAACGAACAGCUGCACGCAGCCAGUAGCCAGCGGGACCCGCACACUGUCGGCUGGGUACACGAUCGACAUCGAAACUUAUGGAUGGACUCCUGGGCUAAAAGCUGCAAUCAGCAGCUUGAAAAAUACGCAAGAGGCAUGGUACAUGGCAGAAGCAACAACAAGAUCAUUGCAUUUGAAAGAAUUACCAGAGGCCAGCGCGGCACAACGGCGGAUAAGCUAAUGAAGCAGUUCCCGGCACUCCCGCGACGGAGAGACUCACGUUGGCGCUGUCUGUCGAAUCCCACUGCAGAGCCCGCGCCGAUUAUCGAGCGCAUUUGUUGCGAUCCUGGUACGUGCUGCUGUUAGCUCGCUUCCAAUCGUUCAGCCAUCGUCGACGGCGACGCCGAUUUUCGCCAGCGGCAUCCUUUCGUGAAUGGAAGCUUCAUGUUUGUUGUCGCUCUGAUUCUGCGAACGCAAGGUGGCCGGAGGUAGGGCCACACCACCAGGCGGACGUACAAACGACGUGAACAGUGUUUGUUGCACAUAUAAAGGACAAAUUGCUUGUAGUGACUCCGAAUACCGUUUUGUCAAUCCGCACGAAGAAACCAGGUGUUUUGUUUGUGCUAUACAAACUUUAACAAAUCACGUCUGGUGCAUAGCACAAUUCUAGUUCUUGAGGUGGAUUGCUCGAAAAGGCAGAAAUUACUUGCACAACUCUGGGUCGUCCAGCGAGCCGAGGAAGCCGCUUCGAGACAAGGUGUCGGAACCGCAUCCGCGGUGGGUGCCCAGACCCACUAAAAAGACGCCGGAC
Molecule: long non-coding RNA, 918 nt
Organism: Dermacentor andersoni
Lineage: Eukaryota; Metazoa; Arthropoda; Arachnida; Ixodida; Ixodidae
Source: RefSeq, a predicted model, not a curated record